Unclassified non-coding RNA from Callithrix jacchus (white-tufted-ear marmoset), 297 nucleotides. It matches the Rfam family "Metazoan signal recognition particle RNA". From Rfam's summary of the family: The signal recognition particle (SRP) is a universally conserved ribonucleoprotein. It is involved in the co-translational targeting of proteins to membranes. The eukaryotic SRP consists of a 300-nucleotide 7S RNA and six proteins: SRPs 72, 68, 54, 19, 14, and 9. NCBI's taxonomy places the organism in Eukaryota, Metazoa, Chordata, Mammalia, Primates, Cebidae. The record is from Ensembl.
GCCAGAUGCAGUGGCUCGUGCCUGUAGUCCCAGCUACUCAGGACGCUAAGGUGGGAGGAUUACUUGAGCCCAGGAGUUCUGGGCUGUAGUGCCCUAUGCCAAUCGGGUGUCCACACUAAGUUCGGCAUCAAUAUGGUGACCUCCCAGGUGUGGGGGACCACCAGGUUGCCUAAGGAGGGGUGAACUGGCCCAGAUCAAUGGAGCAGGUCAAAACUCCCAUGCUGAUCAGUAGUGGGAUCGUGCCUGUGAAUAGCCACUGCACUCCAGCCUGGGCAACAUAGCGAGACCCCAUCUCUA